UGGGGAAUUUUGCGCAAUGGGGGAAACCCUGACGCAGCAACGCCGCGUGGAGGAUGAAGUAUCUUGGUACGUAAACUCCUUUCGAUGGGGAAGAUAAUGACGGUACCCAUAGAAGAAGCCCCGGCUAACUUCGUGCCAGCAGCCGCGGUAAUACGAGGGGGGCAAGCGUUGUUCGGAUUUAUUGGGCGUAAAGGGUGCGUAGGCGGUUUGAUAAGUCUUCUGUGAAAUCUAUGGGCUCAACCCAUAGUCUGCAUGAGAAACUGUCGGGCUUGAGUAUUGGAGAGGUGAGUGGAAUUUCCGGUGUAGCGGUGAAAUGCGUAGAUAUCGGAAGGAACACCUGUGGCGAAAGCGGCUCACUGGACAAUAACUGACGCUGAGGCACGAAAGCUAGGGGAGCAAACA
This 402-nucleotide ribosomal RNA is filed under the name uncultured bacterium. Its description in RNAcentral is "bacterial SSU rRNA". It matches the Rfam family "Bacterial small subunit ribosomal RNA", at positions 355 to 774 of the family's 1533-position model. The record is from RNAcentral.